CGUAGGGCGAAGCGUUAUCCGGAUUUACUGGGUGUAAAGGGAGCGUAGACGGAAGAGCAAGUCUGAUGUGAAAGGCUGGGGCUUAACCCCAGGACUGCAUUGGAAACUGUUUUCUAGAGUGCCGGAGAGGUAAGCGGAAUUCCUAGUGUAGCGGUGAAAUGCGUAGAUAUUAGGAGGAACACCAGUGGCGAAGGCGGCUUACUGGACGGUAACUGACGUUGAGGCUCGAAAAGCGUGGGGGAGCAAACAGGAUU
RNAcentral lists this ribosomal RNA (254 nucleotides) under uncultured bacterium. RNAcentral describes it as "partial 16S ribosomal RNA". It matches the Rfam family "Bacterial small subunit ribosomal RNA", at positions 526 to 779 of the family's 1533-position model. The record is from RNAcentral.